This 229-nucleotide ribosomal RNA is filed under the name uncultured bacterium. RNAcentral's name for it is "partial 16S ribosomal RNA". It matches the Rfam family "Bacterial small subunit ribosomal RNA", at positions 568 to 796 of the family's 1533-position model. The record is from RNAcentral.
UGCGUAGGCGGAUUAAUAAGUCAGUGGUGAAAUCUCUCGGCUCAACAGGGAAACUGCCAUUGAUACUGUUAAUCUUGAGUUCGGUUGAGGUAGGCGGAAUGUGUAAUGUAGCGGUGAAAUGCUUAGAUAUUACACAGAACACCAAUUGCGUAGGCAGCUUACUAGACCGACACUGACGCUGAGGCACGAAAGCGUGGGUAGCGAACAGGAUUAGAUACCCUGGUAGUCC